UUUUUUUUUUUUUUUUUUUUUUUUUUUUUUUUUAAU
Molecule: non-coding RNA, 36 nt
Filed under: Alexandrium minutum
Lineage: Eukaryota; Dinophyceae; Gonyaulacales; Pyrocystaceae
Source: RNAcentral